Molecule: non-coding RNA, 1254 nt
Organism: Cucurbita pepo subsp. pepo (vegetable marrow)
Lineage: Eukaryota; Viridiplantae; Streptophyta; Magnoliopsida; Cucurbitales; Cucurbitaceae
Source: RefSeq, a predicted model, not a curated record
AAACAGUAAACAGGGGAAUGAGUUGAAAUUGGUGACUCUUUCGAAAUUUCUCAUGGUUUGGAGAUUUCCUUGUCGGGGGCGCAAGCUUGAGAAAUUCCUUAGCAUUCGAAGCUCAACGGAUAAGCCAUACUAGGCGUUUAUUCGAAGAAAACGCAAGGAAGAAGAAGGAGCGCGUGCACUACACGCAAGGUGCGUGAGGAGCCGGGACUGGGCGUGCGACUAGGAGUUCUCCUGGCGCGUGGGACAAACACACCGAGAAUGUGAGGGCGCGUGAGACCUCAUUUCGACUUCGGGUUUGUCCCGUUCGAUUCGUUUUGACCUAUACUUACCUUGAAAAUAGUGACAUAUAGGUCUGAUUGGAGGAAAUUGUGUUGAAAUACCCUAUUAUUAAACGUACAUUCAACAGAGAAAGGGAUUCGAAACCAGGUAAGUAGCAUAUCGUUCUUUAAGCUAGUUCUUAACUUGUUGACAACAUGUGAGUAUGUUGUUUACCUGAUUAAAAGCUUAGUAUGUUAAAAUGAGUUUUGAUGAUGUUGAAUGUUUAUUGUAUAUCUUGAUUGCUUGUGAGGUAAGCAUGAUAUAAAUGAUUACUAGAAUGUUCUAUGUGGUGAACAUGAUAAAUGUUGAAAGCAUGCAGUAAAUGUGAGUAUGCAUGUUAAUGGAAAUGUUAUGACUCUAGGAUAUGCUUAUUGGUUGUUGAGCCAUGGCUUAUUUAUAUGAGUAUGAUAGUCUACUAAUUCCCACGGAGUCCAGACCAACGCAUUGUGUGCUAAGUCAGGGAGCAUGAGUACUCCUGACCGUUGGUAUAUGAGAUAAACAAGCCGCCAGAGGAAUUAGUAGACGGGCCGUAUUUGACUGAGAGCGAGUCUUACAUACGAGUCCGAAAAUUCUAGAUAAGCAUAUCGAGAGAGAGUCAGUAACCUAAGAUUGAGGUAGCUGAGAUACCUCAUUAAUGAACAGAUGACUCUAGUAAGAGAAACUAGGAGUCAAUGGCGAAUAAAACUUAAAAACACCUGGAAAGAUUAGUUAUGAACUCAUGAAAAAUAAGCUCCCUAUUACUCAUCAAAAUUAUUUUUAACUUUUCUUUCCAGAUUUAGUUGAUGUAGGCCAACCGAGGACGAGGACGAGACCAGCAGGCUAGAGACUAUUUGGGAAUCCAUGUCUGUGUCUGUUUUGUGUACUUAUGCUUUCGUUGUCAAGAAUUUACUUUGGUCGUUUUAAGUUUUAAAUAGUACUGGUUUUAAAUGUCUUUUU